Molecule: ribosomal RNA, 1406 nt
Filed under: Mycolicibacterium gilvum
Lineage: Bacteria; Bacillati; Actinomycetota; Actinomycetes; Mycobacteriales; Mycobacteriaceae
Description: bacterial SSU rRNA
Rfam family: Bacterial small subunit ribosomal RNA
Source: RNAcentral
GACGAACGCUGGCGGCGUGCUUAACACAUGCAAGUCGAACGGAAAGGCCCUUCGGGGUACUCGAGUGGCGAACGGGUGAGUAACACGUGGGUGAUCUGCCCUGCACUUUGGGAUAAGCCUGGGAAACUGGGUCUAAUACCGAAUAGGACCGCAUGCUUCAUGGUGUGUGGUGGAAAGCUUUUGCGGUGUGGGAUGGGCCCGCGGCCUAUCAGCUUGUUGGUGAGGUAAUGGCUUACCAAGGCGACGACGGGUAGCCGGCCUGAGAGGGUGACCGGCCACACUGGGACUGAGAUACGGCCCAGACUCCUACGGGAGGCAGCAGUGGGGAAUAUUGCACAAUGGGCGCAAGCCUGAUGCAGCGACGCCGCGUGAGGGAUGACGGCCUUCGGGUUGUAAACCUCUUUCGCCAGGGACGAAGCGCAAGUGACGGUACCUGGAGAAGAAGGACCGGCCAACUACGUGCCAGCAGCCGCGGUAAUACGUAGGGUCCGAGCGUUGUCCGGAAUUACUGGGCGUAAAGAGCUCGUAGGUGGUUUGUCGCGUUGUUCGUGAAAACUCACAGCUUAACUGUGGGCGUGCGGGCGAUACGGGCAGACUUGAGUACUGCAGGGGAGACUGGAAUUCCUGGUGUAGCGGUGGAAUGCGCAGAUAUCAGGAGGAACACCGGUGGCGAAGGCGGGUCUCUGGGCAGUAACUGACGCUGAGGAGCGAAAGCGUGGGGAGCGAACAGGAUUAGAUACCCUGGUAGUCCACGCCGUAAACGGUGGGUACUAGGUGUGGGUUUCCUUCCUUGGGAUCCGUGCCGUAGCUAACGCAUUAAGUACCCCGCCUGGGGAGUACGGCCGCAAGGCUAAAACUCAAAGAAAUUGACGGGGGCCCGCACAAGCGGCGGAGCAUGUGGAUUAAUUCGAUGCAACGCGAAGAACCUUACCUGGGUUUGACAUGCACAGGACGCCGGCAGAGAUGUCGGUUCCCUUGUGGCCUGUGUGCAGGUGGUGCAUGGCUGUCGUCAGCUCGUGUCGUGAGAUGUUGGGUUAAGUCCCGCAACGAGCGCAACCCUUGUCUCAUGUUGCCAGCACGUUAUGGUGGGGACUCGUGAGAGACUGCCGGGGUCAACUCGGAGGAAGGUGGGGAUGACGUCAAGUCAUCAUGCCCCUUAUGUCCAGGGCUUCACACAUGCUACAAUGGCCGGUACAAAGGGCUGCGAUGCCGUGAGGUGGAGCGAAUCCUUUCAAAGCCGGUCUCAGUUCGGAUCGGGGUCUGCAACUCGACCCCGUGAAGUCGGAGUCGCUAGUAAUCGCAGAUCAGCAACGCUGCGGUGAAUACGUUCCCGGGCCUUGUACACACCGCCCGUCACGUCAUGAAAGUCGGUAACACCCGAAGCCGGUGGCCUAACCCCUUGUGGG